RNAcentral lists this ribosomal RNA (390 nucleotides) under Opopaea sp. LFY01. RNAcentral describes it as "partial 16S ribosomal RNA". Lineage: Eukaryota; Metazoa; Arthropoda; Arachnida; Araneae; Oonopidae. The record is from RNAcentral.
UCAUGUUAUUUUUAAAUAGCCGCAGAUCUUCUGUGCUAAGGUAGCACAAUAAAUAGUCUAUUAAUUAUAGAAUAGAAUGAAUGACUUCACGUUUUAAUUUAUCUCACUUAUUAUUAUAUAAAUUAUAUUUAAAAGUCAAAAUCCUUUAAUUUCACGAAAGACGAUAAGACCCUAUGAACUUAACUUAAUGUUUAACUGGGGCGGUUUUUUAAAAAUUUCUUAUUAUCACAAAUUACCAAAAAACCUAAACAAUAUUAUAUGUAAAAGUUACCUUAGGGAUAACAGCACUAUAUUUAUUUAAAGCUCAUAUUAAAAUAAAUAAUUGUGACCUCGAUGUUGAAUUAAAUUUUCCUACUAAGCAAAAAUAAAAUAAGAGAGUCUGUUCGACUU